AGUCAAAGUAACCAGCUCCUUAUCCCUCUACAAGACGCCAUAAGUGGAGGGGAGAAGUAAGAUGUCAGUCUUCAUGUGGGACUUUCUCUGCUCAGGGAACAGGAACAAAAAUCACUGUUCUGAAAGAAAUUGAAGAUUUGCAGGCUUCAAAGUCUGGAUGCAUGUUUCUUCAUGCCACCAUCUUUUAUGGUAUCAAUGUGAUGUCAUUAUGGACAAUGUUGCUGUCAACUGUAUAGUAGCUGUUAUGGUUUAUUCCCACAAAAUCCUUGCACAAUACAA
Long non-coding RNA from Polypterus senegalus (gray bichir), 279 nucleotides. RefSeq lists it as uncharacterized. The record is from RefSeq and is a predicted model, not a curated record. NCBI's taxonomy places the organism in Eukaryota, Metazoa, Chordata, Cladistia, Polypteriformes, Polypteridae. The transcript has 3 exons.